Molecule: unclassified non-coding RNA, 1814 nt
Filed under: Hevea brasiliensis (rubber tree)
Lineage: Eukaryota; Viridiplantae; Streptophyta; Magnoliopsida; Malpighiales; Euphorbiaceae
Source: RNAcentral
GACCAGUCAUUGGUCAGAUUCCAAUUAAAUCGAUCCAACCAAACGGAUCAAUCCAGUUCUGACAAUUAUGAUACUUAGAAUGAAAUUUUACAAAGCCUAAUCUUUUUUGGUACAGUUUUGAGAACUAAAUCAACUCUAGGAGAAUUAUGAGAAGGGAACCUAAUAUAGAAGAGAAAGGAAUACAGUCAAACUAUAUACUACAUAUAUAUAAAGAUCAGAUGCAAUUUCUACAAAUGAAGUGAGAUUAGAACUUCAAUCAGAGUCACUUGUAUAGGAAACAUAUUUGUGCAGUGGAUGCAGAAACCUAUUCAAGUUAUCUUAAAGGAAAGAAACAGAAGAAAACUUGCUCUAGUUGAUUAUGUUGUCCAUUCAUAACUUCUGCCUAUCUGCAUAUGCAACCAUUCAGGUUAGGAUGCUUAAGCAUAAUCUCUCGCUGCUUGAGGCCCAAACAUCAUUCCAGUAGCAUCGAGCGGCUGUGCGCCAAGAUCUUUUACGUGAAAACCUUCAAUUGUGGGGUUCAUGUUCAUUCUUGAAUUAACUGCUUCUAGCUUCAUUGACAGGAACUCAACCUGCUGCUGCAAUGACAGGAUGUAGUUGAUUAUCUCAUCAAGAACAAGUGCUUUACCAAUAACCUGGUUAUAGAAGGACAUAAUUCCAAGUCAAAUGAGACUGAAUUAGGAAUUUAAGUGAACCACCUGGAUGUUAACAAAUGUCUAUCACAGACAAAUCUCAAUACUGGCUUAUGAAACAUGAAAUAUAAUAGGGACGAGGUGGAUUAAUUGUAUGUCGUCUUCAUAGCCUCAACUAGGCAGAGUUUUUCUGCACACAAUAUAGAAAUUUGACUAGCGUAACAGCAGGUACACAAUAAUAAGCACCUUAUUACAUCCAGGAACCAAAUCUUGGAGUAUCUUCAUCCUCUCACUUAUCUUUUCUCUCCUAGCUCUUUCUGCUAGACUGUGGCUAUCGGUAGCUUGACCCCUUCUAGCUCGUACGUGUAUGUAGUCUUGUUUAGGUGGUUCUGGUGGUUGAACGUUCUGCUCCACAUGCUUGCCUGAACUGGUUUCUGCAUCAGUUUUGGAAUUGCGAUUAUCAUCUCUACUUCCAGAUGUUUUAAGCUUUUUUGUAUCAGAAUCGCUCACUCCAUUGCUAUUGCCAUUGCUUGAAGAAAGGACCUUUGCGGAAUCAACCUCCACCACAUCACGCCGUUUUCUUGCACCGGCGAUGCCGCCACCACGAUUUCCUCUUUGUUCCAAAUUCAUCGGAUCAUUGCACGAAACAUCCCGGUUCGAAUCCCCAAACUGAGCACCCAGACUCUGCCCAAACUGACUUUUCCCGUUCCCAUUUACCGGAAACUGCCAGAUCUCCGCCAAAUUGUAGGUCCCGUCAUUCAUAAUCGCCUGUUGAUCCAUAGAAAUAUCGCCACACACUAGCCGAUUCGUGCCUAACUCAAAUUGGAAAAAAUUCUCCAGUACUUCUGACUUUCUUAACAAAGCAAUGAGUGUAAACUCCGUCAGUGGGUUCGUUAAAAAACAGGAAAAUGAGCAGAAAGGCGUUUGCUUUAUAAUGGAUGCGCUUUUGAAGAAGCUUCAAUAAAGAAGGAAAUAGAAGCAGCAGAACCCAGUAAAAAGAAAAGCGAAAGCUAUCAAUUGGAUAGAGAGAGGUUUAGAGACAGAGAAGCAAAUCCAGAGAACGAAAGAGGAGUCUGCGUAUGUGUGUGAUCUCCUUGGACAGUGGAGGUUGGUGCGCACUGUGCCACCACUUACUGGCUAUUACAGGCACGGGGAGGAGAGACAGAGACCUCGGGAGUUGCAAAC